CAGGCCCUACGGUCGUGUUAGUAGAAAUAUUUUGAAGACAAAGUUAUUAGAGAAUUGUGUUUUAAAUGGCGUUAGGUUUCAUAAGGCUAAAGUUUGGCAUGUGAAUCAUCAGGAGUUCGAGUCUUCGAUUGUUUGUGAUGAUGGAAAUGAGAUUAAGGCUAGCUUGAUUGUUGAUGCUAGUGGCUUUGCUAGUAGUUUUGUUGACUAUGAUAAGCCAAGAAACCAUGGAUACCAAAUUGCUCAUGGGAUUUUAGCUGAGGUUGAGAGUCACCCUUUUGAUUUAGAUAAAAUGGUUCUCAUGGAUUGGAGAGAUUCCCAUUUAGGGAAUGAGCCUUACUUGCGAGCUAGCAAUUUGAAGCUCCCAACUUUUCUCUAUGCAAUGCCAUUUGAUUCAAAUUUGGUAUUUUUAGAAGAAACAUCUUUGGUUAGUAGGCCAGUUUU
RNAcentral lists this long non-coding RNA (441 nucleotides) under Citrus sinensis (sweet orange). Its description in RNAcentral is "long non-coding RNA (CSIN_LNC003612)". Lineage: Eukaryota; Viridiplantae; Streptophyta; Magnoliopsida; Sapindales; Rutaceae. The record is from RNAcentral.